GGCGAAUGAAGCGGGAAAAGCUCAAGUUUGAAAUCUGGCGGGCCCAGAGUUGUAAGCUGAAGAGGCGUGACCGACGUGGUCCGUCCAAUUUCUUUGGAACAGGAAGUCACUGAGGGUGAGAACCCCGUAUGUGUUCGGACCCCGUCUGUGUCGUGUCCUCGAARAGUCGGGUUGUUUGGGAAUGCAGCUCAAAAUGGGUGGUAAAUUUCACUAAGGCUAAAUAUUGGCGAGAGACCGAUAGCGAACAAGUAGAGUGAUCGAAAGAUGAAAAGUACUUUGAAAAGAGAGUGAAACAGUACGUGAAAUUGUUGAAAGGAAGCGUUUGCAUCAGCCCAUGGCCUCCGUCGACAUCCAGGCUCUGUCUUGCGCUCGUCGUGGCCGGGCCAGCGUCGAUUUGCCCGUCGACAAGGUCCCGGGAAUGUGUCUCCUCGGGAGAGUAUAGCCCUUGGCGUCAUGCGGCGUGGCGGGGUCGAGGUCCGCGGUUUUCCAGGACGCUGGCGUAAUGGUUCCAAGCGACCCGUCUUGAAACACGGACCAAGGAGUCUAACAUCUAUGCGAGUGUUUGGGUGUCAAGCCCGUCCGCGCAAUGAAAGUGAAUGCAGGCGGGAGCUUUGGCGCACCGUCGACCGGUCCGGGGGUUUACCGAAUCUGAGUAAGAGCAUAGCUGUUGGGACCCGAAAGAUGGUGAACUAUGCCUGAAUA
Molecule: ribosomal RNA, 702 nt
Filed under: uncultured Archaeorhizomycetes
Lineage: Eukaryota; Fungi; Ascomycota; Archaeorhizomycetes
Description: eukaryotic LSU rRNA
Rfam family: Eukaryotic large subunit ribosomal RNA
Source: RNAcentral